This 1492-nucleotide ribosomal RNA is filed under the name Lactiplantibacillus pentosus. Its description in RNAcentral is "bacterial SSU rRNA". It matches the Rfam family "Bacterial small subunit ribosomal RNA". The record is from RNAcentral. Lineage: Bacteria; Bacillati; Bacillota; Bacilli; Lactobacillales; Lactobacillaceae.
GACGAACGCUGGCGGCGUGCCUAAUACAUGCAAGUCGAACGAACUCUGGUAUUGAUUGGUGCUUGCAUCAUGAUUUACAUUUGAGUGAGUGGCGAACUGGUGAGUAACACGUGGGAAACCUGCCCAGAAGCGGGGGAUAACACCUGGAAACAGAUGCUAAUACCGCAUAACAACUUGGACCGCAUGGUCCGAGUUUGAAAGAUGGCUUCGGCUAUCACUUUUGGAUGGUCCCGCGGCGUAUUAGCUAGAUGGUGGGGUAACGGCUCACCAUGGCAAUGAUACGUAGCCGACCUGAGAGGGUAAUCGGCCACAUUGGGACUGAGACACGGCCCAAACUCCUACGGGAGGCAGCAGUAGGGAAUCUUCCACAAUGGACGAAAGUCUGAUGGAGCAACGCCGCGUGAGUGAAGAAGGGUUUCGGCUCGUAAAACUCUGUUGUUAAAGAAGAACAUAUCUGAGAGUAACUGUUCAGGUAUUGACGGUAUUUAACCAGAAAGCCACGGCUAACUACGUGCCAGCAGCCGCGGUAAUACGUAGGUGGCAAGCGUUGUCCGGAUUUAUUGGGCGUAAAGCGAGCGCAGGCGGUUUUUUAAGUCUGAUGUGAAAGCCUUCGGCUCAACCGAAGAAGUGCAUCGGAAACUGGGAAACUUGAGUGCAGAAGAGGACAGUGGAACUCCAUGUGUAGCGGUGAAAUGCGUAGAUAUAUGGAAGAACACCAGUGGCGAAGGCGGCUGUCUGGUCUGUAACUGACGCUGAGGCUCGAAAGUAUGGGUAGCAAACAGGAUUAGAUACCCUGGUAGUCCAUACCGUAAACGAUGAAUGCUAAGUGUUGGAGGGUUUCCGCCCUUCAGUGCUGCAGCUAACGCAUUAAGCAUUCCGCCUGGGGAGUACGGCCGCAAGGCUGAAACUCAAAGGAAUUGACGGGGGCCCGCACAAGCGGUGGAGCAUGUGGUUUAAUUCGAAGCUACGCGAAGAACCUUACCAGGUCUUGACAUACUAUGCAAAUCUAAGAGAUUAGACGUUCCCUUCGGGGACAUGGAUACAGGUGGUGCAUGGUUGUCGUCAGCUCGUGUCGUGAGAUGUUGGGUUAAGUCCCGCAACGAGCGCAACCCUUAUUAUCAGUUGCCAGCAUUAAGUUGGGCACUCUGGUGAGACUGCCGGUGACAAACCGGAGGAAGGUGGGGAUGACGUCAAAUCAUCAUGCCCCUUAUGACCUGGGCUACACACGUGCUACAAUGAAUGGUACAACGAGUUGCGAACUCGCGAGAGUAAGCUAAUCUCUUAAAGCCAUUCUCAGUUCGGAUUGUAGGCUGCAACUCGCCUACAUGAAGUCGGAAUCGCUAGUAAUCGCGGAUCAGCAUGCCGCGGUGAAUACGUUCCCGGGCCUUGUACACACCGCCCGUCACACCAUGAGAGUUUGUAACACCCAAAGUCGGUGGGGUAACCUUUUAGGAACCAGCCGCCUAAGGUGGGACAGAUGAUUAGGGUGAAG